Small nucleolar RNA from Lathyrus oleraceus (garden pea), 107 nucleotides. Lineage: Eukaryota; Viridiplantae; Streptophyta; Magnoliopsida; Fabales; Fabaceae. The record is from RefSeq and is a predicted model, not a curated record.
AUCCCAUGGUGGGGACAUUAUCUCAAAAGUUCCUUAAAUUGUUCCCAAGCAUCAAAUAAAGACUCAUAUUCCUCUUUCCUAAAUUAUGUGAUUUCAUUCCUCAUUUU